UUUUAAAUGAAUAUUGUUUUUUUUUAUUAGUUUUAUGUAUUUUUAGAUUAAUUUUUUAUUUAUAACUGUUAAGGAUUAAUUAAAAAUUAUUAAAUUAUUUUUUAGUACCUUUUGUAUCAGGGUUUUUUUAUUAUUUAAUAUAUUUUUGUUUCCCGAAUUUAAGAAAUUUAAUAAUUUAAUUAUUUAAUUGUUUUAUAAAUUUUUAAAAUAAAUUAUUAGUAAUUAGAAGUUAAUUGUUCUUUUUUAUAUCUGGUUUCUUGAGAAUUAAAUUUAAUUUAGAAUUAAUUUAUUUUAUUAAUUUAAUGAAUUAUUAGUUUUAUUUAAUUAGGGAUAAGCUUAAUUAUUUAUUAUAAUUUUAUUUAAUCUAUUUUUAAUAGUUUUAGAAUUUUUCUUAAAGUUUGUAAUAAAUUUAAAUAUUUUUUAAUUUAUUUAGUUUUAUUUAAUUUUUUAUUGAGAUAUUUUAAUUAAUUUUAUUUUAUUAUUUAUAAUGAAAGAAUUAGUAUAAUUUUUAUUUAUAUUUAAAUGAAUUCAACAAAACUUAUUUCCGACUGUUUAUCAAAAACAUUUCUUUAAGAUUAAAUUUAAAGUAUAUCCUGCCCUAUGAUUAUAUAUUAAAUGGCUGCAGUAUAUUGACUGUGCAAAGGUAGCAUAAUAAUUAGUUUUUUAAUUGGGGACUAGAAUGAAUGGAUUUACGAGAUAUAUAUUUUAUUAGUUUUAUAAUUAAAAUUUAAUUUUUUUGUAAAAAAGCUUAAUUAAUUAAUUGGGACGAAAAGACCCUAAAGAACUUUUAUAAUUUUAAUAUUUAUUUUGAAUUAUUUUAUUUUAUUUAUUUUUACUGGGGUGGUAAAUAAAUUUAUUAACUUUAUUUUUUAUGUUCAUUAAUUUAUGUUUUAAUGAUCCUAUUUGAUUACAAGAUUAAGUUACCUUAGGGAUAACAGCGUUAUUUAAAUGGUAAGUUCAUAUUUAUAUUUAAGUUUGCGACCUCGAUGUUGAAUUAAGGUUAGAUUAAGGGGUAGUUUUUUUAUGUCUAAGUCUGUUCGACUUUUAAAUCCUUACAUGAUUUGAGUUCAAACCGGUGUGAGCCAGGUUGGUUUCUAUCUUAUUAUAUUUAAAUUUUAUUAGUACGAAAGGACCAUAAAAUUUUAUUUUUAUAAUUAACUUUGAAUCAAAUUA
RNAcentral lists this ribosomal RNA (1173 nucleotides) under Busonia albilateralis. RNAcentral's name for it is "16S ribosomal RNA". Lineage: Eukaryota; Metazoa; Arthropoda; Insecta; Hemiptera; Cicadellidae. The record is from RNAcentral.